This 789-nucleotide ribosomal RNA is filed under the name uncultured bacterium. RNAcentral's name for it is "bacterial SSU rRNA". It matches the Rfam family "Bacterial small subunit ribosomal RNA", at positions 1 to 787 of the family's 1533-position model. The record is from RNAcentral.
UAGAGUUUGAUCCUGGCUCAGGAUGAACGCUAGCGGCAGGCUUAACACAUGCAAGUCGAGGGGCAUCGGGAGGGAAGCUUGCUUUCCUUGCCGGCGACCGGCGCACGGGUGAGUAACACGUAUGCAACCUGCCCUCUUCAGGGGGACAACCUUCCGAAAGGGAGGCUAAUCCCGCGUAUAUCGGUUUCGGGCAUCCGAGAUCGAGGAAAGAUUCAUCGGAAGAGGAUGGGCAUGCGGCGCAUUAGCUUGACGGCGGGGUAACGGCCCACCGUGGCGACGAUGCGUAGGGGUUCUGAGAGGAAGGUCCCCCACACUGGUACUGAGACACGGACCAGACUCCUACGGGAGGCAGCAGUGAGGAAUAUUGGUCAAUGGGAGAGAUCCUGAACCAGCCAAGCCGCGUGAGGGAAGACGGCCCUAUGGGUUGUAAACCUCUUUUGUCGGAGAACAAAACCCGGGACGUGUCCCGGACUGCGUGUAUCCGAAGAAAAAGCAUCGGCUAACUCCGUGCCAGCAGCCGCGGUAAUACGGAGGAUGCGAGCGUUAUCCGGAUUUAUUGGGUUUAAAGGGUGCGUAGGCGGUCCGUUAAGUCAGCGGUAAAAUUGCGGGGCUCAACCCCGUCGAGCCGUUGAAACUGGCAGACUUGAGUUGGCGAGAAGUACGCGGAAUGCGCGGUGUAGCGGUGAAAUGCAUAGAUAUCGCGCAGAACUCCGAUUGCGAAGGCAGCGUACCGGCGCCACACUGACGCUGAGGCACGAAAGCGUGGGGAUCGAACAGGAUUAGAUACCC